CCCACUGCAGGAAUGUUAGAUGGCCCUUCUGGCCAAAAGAUGCAAUCAGAAGGGUGGUGAAGAGGAUGGUCAGCCACAAAGGCACACCUUGCUGGUGCAGGAAGCAUUGGAGGAGAGCCAGAGUCAACCUGCAGAUAUCUGGAUCUUGGGAACCAGGUCCCUGAGUACGAUGAUGGCCAGAUUCUGAGACACACAUUUGCUGUAAAGUUGCGUCAACUUGCUACAGAUCUUUAAUGUCGAGAACAUUCAAACAGAAGCAUCCUGAAUGCAACUGGAGAGCCAGGAUUUGAAUUCAAGCUGUGAGUUCUCCCAACUCUCCUUCCCUCACUUGUCAAAAAUGAAAAGGGACCGGACUGGAGAUCCUGGGCCGUCGCAAGUUCCGGGAGCCCCGCCCGGGGCUGACCCAGCAGCCGUCUACUGGUCCGUGGAGCGAACGGCGGGACCCAGGCGCGGAGGGGAGGCGGACAGGUUCCUCCAGCUUGCUCAUCCAGACCAGCAGCCCCGAGGGAGGGCAGGAGGGGUGCACCAGGCAGGAAGCGGACGGGGUCGGGGGGCUUGGGAUGCCCUGGGGUCAGGUGGAGCGGCCGGCCCCUGGUUUUCUCUCGCGCAGGGCGCGGUGGUCACUGUGCAGGGUAAGGUCCAGGCGGCGGGUCGGGUCUCGCCCGCGGGUCUGGGAGAAGGGAAAGCCUCGGAGCACUAGGUGAGAGGUUACAGGGGCCGGGACCUCUCUGAGAUUCCUUGGCCUAUUCACCGAUUUUGUUCUGCUCUUGGUUUUAGUUUAUGUGGAAGGCUCAGCUCCGCACUGGCCCAGGAGGUGCUAGGAACCAGAGUCCGUUGGUCAAAAAUUUUGAAAAAUAGAAAAGAAAAAAUAAUCGCUUAUAGUGCCAGUAUGGAACUAUAAUCUCUCAACAUUUUGGUGUAUUUAUUUUGUUUUUGUUUGUUUGUUUUUUUUUUUGGGGGGGUAAGCCUUUUUUGUUCGAAUCCUAUACUUAUAUAUUAAAAUUUUUUUUCCGUCAUUGUCAUCAUAUCUCCUCUUCAGGUUUCCAGGCUGCUUUUUACAAUUCUUGUACACAGUUUUUUCUAACGUAUUCUUCAUGAGUCUCACCUGAUAUCUGCGUAAUAUUCUGUUUAUAUUUUGACCAAUUAGUCCCCAGUUAGUUGGACAUUUAGGUUGCGUACUUUUUCAUUAUGAUACAGUGGUUUCUAAAUAGUAUGUAAUUUCAAUUUUUGUGUUUUAAUUAUCCUAAGCGUUCUUUAAAAAUGUUACAAUUUUUAAAGUGGACAGAUUUUUUUCCCCAUUUGUUUUUAAUUUUAUUGUCCUGUGGUCUGAGAAUGUGGCUUGUAUUUACGCUUUUGGAAUUUAUUGAGCUUUUGAUAGAUGGUCAAUUUUUAAAAUAACUUUAGGCAUAGUUUUGAAUGAAUGAAUAAAAAAUUCUAUAUAUUAGAUCAAGCUUAGUAAAUAUAUAUUAUCCAUAUUUGCUAUGUUCUUUAUUUUAGUCUACUUGAUGGGUUAAUUUUUGAAAGAACUGUAAUUUUUCAAAAUAUGUUGGUGGAUUUGCCAUUUCCUUUUUAUAUUUCUAACAGAUUCUGCUUUACAUAUUUAUUUAUUUAAAAAAAUUUUGUUCAAGUUUUAUUGAGAUAUGAUUGAUGUGUAACAUUGUAUAAGUUUAAGGUGCACAACAUGAUGGUUUGAUAUAUGUAUACAUUUCAAAAUUAUCACAAUAAAGUUAACUAACACAUUUAUCCCUUCAUAUAGUUACAUUUUUUUCUGUGUGUGUGAGUUGAGACCGUUUAAGAUCUACAGUCUUAGCCACUCUCAAAAAUGCAAUAUAGUAUUGUUAGCUAUAGUCACCAUGCUGUACAUUACUUCCCCAGAACUUACUCAUCUUACAGCUGGAAAUUUGUACCCUUUGAUGGUUUUAUCUCUAUAUUUUAAAGUAACAUUAUAAGGUGUAAAAACCACGUGGCUGUUUAGAUGAUAAACAAAUACACUUAUUGGCAUAUAUAUCUUUUUAUGCAUUUUUGAAUUAUUUUCUUGACCUGGAUUUUCAGAAGAAAAUGGCCUUGAAAGCCAAAUUGGCCUCUUAAGGAUUUGACAAAUGCACAUUGUUGGUUUCCACAUGGUCAGCAAAAGGUAUAAAAAGAACACAAACAAACAAGACGGUAAGAAAUGGGGAUACUUUAAAAACUUUGAUUUUUAUUGAGGUUGACUUUUUUUUUUUUCUGUAGGUCUAAUCAGUUGAAUUUUCUUUUUUUGUGUGUGGAUAGUCCGUUCUCAUCUUU
Non-coding RNA from Delphinapterus leucas (beluga whale), 2283 nucleotides. The record is from RefSeq and is a predicted model, not a curated record. NCBI's taxonomy places the organism in Eukaryota, Metazoa, Chordata, Mammalia, Artiodactyla, Monodontidae.